Molecule: non-coding RNA, 1822 nt
Organism: Peromyscus maniculatus bairdii (prairie deer mouse)
Lineage: Eukaryota; Metazoa; Chordata; Mammalia; Rodentia; Cricetidae
Source: RefSeq, a predicted model, not a curated record
GCCAUGCUUCCUGCCAUGACGAUAAUGAACUAAACCUCUGAAACUAUGACUUGAGUUUGUGUCAAGUUGAAAAAUGCCCACCAACGCCGUCACCCACCGCACUGUUUGCAUGUGAUUACAGAAGUCACUGGGAAGCACCCGCCCGUCUGCAGUGCAGUGUGUUACAAGCCACGGUGAGUGCGCCUGUGUUUAUGGCCAUAAAGAAAACCGAGAAGCCUCUUUCAUGUAUGGAUUCUAUAUGGGAGCCAGAGAAAAAGCAGGGUGGCACAGAGGGCAAGAAGAAGAACAAAAAUACAGUUUGGAUGCUUGAGUUUGCUGCUCAUGGCUGGCACCACCUGAGAAUGACUGCCUGGGGCAAAUGAUUAGGGACCUGCUGAAAAUGAAACUUCCCUGCAGACCAAUGGAACAUUCUAGGCCUUCAGAUCCAGGUGAGUGCUCUUCUUUCAUCACGAGUUUGCUUUCUGAUUCUCAGAACCCAGAAAUGGCACGGUACUGACUAGAUACUUUCCUGUUUUCCGCCUCUGUGGUAAGUCUGCUUCCCUGCCUCACUGGUCGCUUCUCUUUCCUAUGUUGUCCCCAACUUCAGGAAAGGGGUUUGGGAUUGGGGAGGGGUGAUAGGCAUGCCCCUCCUCUGCUCUCUGCUCCCAUCUGGUCAUUUAAGUUCGAUUUCCUUUUUAUUUGUGUAUUUGUGAAUUUGUUUGUUUUUGCAGUGUUAGGAAUGAAACCUGGGGUCCCAAUCAUUCUAGGCAUCCCUCUAAUUCUUAAUCUCUAGUGAAUAUGGUCAUGCUCAAAAUAGUAUGAAUGCACAUGUGUGGAGAAAGACAGACAGAGAGCCACAGACACUGAGACAGAGAAGGAUUUUAAGGAAUUAGUUCACCUGCUGGUGGGACAGGCAAGGCUGAAAUCUGUAGCAGCCAAAGGCAUUGGACAUAGAAGGAAGAGUUAAUGGUCAAGCCUCGAGGCCAAAACUUAUGGACUAGAAACUCAGCCCAGGUUCCUUUGUUGUCUAGAAACCAGUCUUCGCUGUUAGGGCUACAACUAACAAGAUGGGGCCCACCCACCCGGUGGAAAGCGAUCUCAGAGUCUACGGAGUUGAACAUUAAUUCCAUCUAAGAUAUAUUUGCAUGGCAUUAUUUACACUGGUGUUUACCAAACAACUGGGCACCAGAGCUUAAUCAAGUUGGCGUGCUUCAAGCACCACAGCCAGCCUUCCCGUGGCCGCUGUAUUUGUGCCAUUCACUGCUGUUACCAUCAAACAGGCCCUCACCACGCUCACGCCUGUGCCCAGCCAUGACACUUUCCAGACACCUGCGCUACAGCAGAGAUCACAGGAGUGUCCUUGUCACUCAUGUCAGAAUCAUUCCACGGUUUCCUCUAAACAUUAGCGGAAGGAUUUCCCACAGGAACUGGGCCCCCGCUGAAGUGGAUUUCUUUUUGCUGGCCUCUUUAUUGGAUGAAUUCAUCUUGACAUAAUGGCAGCCAUCUUGAGUUGUAGCAGAGAGGCUCCGGCCCAGAAGAACCUGAUUGAGUUUUCCUGCAUAGUUUCCCAGCAAACUGUAAAUAGACACAACAUUAGAGUGGCAUGUGGAGUUUUACAGCUGGGCCGUGGUGCUAGGAAUGUGCCUGUCUCUUUGAUACCAGCGUAAGAUAAACCAGGUACAUUCCACUUUUAUGAGGUCACUUUUGUCCUAGCCAAUACACGCAGCUCUCCUUCUGACCCAAACUGUGAGGGCCCCCUUGGUCUUGUUGCAGCCCAGGACUGUACUGCUGUCAGCAAGUCACCUGAUGAACUACAUUCUGUGUAAUCCUGAAUCUCUUUGCC